RNAcentral lists this long non-coding RNA (697 nucleotides) under Physcomitrium patens. RNAcentral's name for it is "long non-coding RNA (PPAT_LNC006523)". The record is from RNAcentral. Lineage: Eukaryota; Viridiplantae; Streptophyta; Bryopsida; Funariales; Funariaceae.
AAGCAUUGUGUUUUUGGAUGGUUCAUGUGGUUUUUAGUUCGCGUUCUUGUCGAUGUCAUAGCUUGGAUAGCUACCGCCUCAUAAAUGGAAGGUUUGCAAUCCCCUUCUCCAAACGAAUUGUAAGCUCAGUCUUCAAAUCAGAUAAAACUGUGGACGCAUCCUGGUAUUCAUGGAACGUGCCUUCUGCACUUCACAUUAACAUCAGAACGGAAAGUGACUAAAACAUAAAAGUUGAAUGAGAUGAAAUCCUCUAUGAGAUGGAUAAUCUGUCAUUUUGUAAAUUUUUUAAUUCCUAAAUUUUAUAUCCGUUUUAAAAUUCCAUCAGAAAGAAACAAGGGUAUGUCUACCAGAUCAAUUGCUAGACUGAUAUUAGGACUUGCAAAACGAUUACCUUAGCACCUAAUCAUUUACGAGCCGCUUUAAUUCUCAAGCAAUCCUACUACCUGUUGGAGGAUUCAAAUGCAUUUGGUAAUACAGCUUUGCAAUUGGUCACACACUCCCGCGUCAUUCCUCACCCGUUUUGGAAUUGGGGUAAUCGUAGCUUGCUGAGCCAAGAGUUUCAACAGUUACAUUUGUCGUAGUGUACUUCAGGUAAUGGAAUUCGUGUGGUUGUUCGAGGAGUGAGCGUCCUCAGGGGUUAGAGAGGCAGGUUUAGAUUAAUAACUGCAGUAAUGGUCACCGCAAAGAUGAGCUGAUU